This 602-nucleotide long non-coding RNA is filed under the name Vigna radiata. Its description in RNAcentral is "long non-coding RNA (VRAD_LNC009977)". The record is from RNAcentral. Lineage: Eukaryota; Viridiplantae; Streptophyta; Magnoliopsida; Fabales; Fabaceae.
AUGACAAAACCUACUCAAUUCAAUAUCCUCAGUGAAAUCCAAAAUAAGAUGCAUGCAUGCUUUCAAUCUAGAGAUUACACAACAGAUGUUAUACAUUAUGAAUGACCAAUCUACUAAGCAAAAAUGCACUCAUGAAAAUUAACAGUUCAUACCAAGCAAGUGUUUCAUUCAAUCACUCAAGUGUUUUAAGGUGACACUUCAACUCUCUAAUGUACACAAGUCACAUGAGACAAAAUUGCCAUUCAUCUCAAACAAUCAACAUCUUUACAUGAAAAUGUCAUCAAAAGGACUUUUCAAGGCUGUAAUGAGGUUGGGCUAACAAGAAAAAUUGGUUUUUUCUAGAAUGCAAAAUCCUUGAGUCAAGAGAACUAUCAAAAUAUUCAACAAUUAAGCACAACUCUCUCAUCAAAGUUUCUCAUUCCCAACUUCUUCCCUUUUCUUAUCUUUUUCAUUGAGCUCAUCUUCAUGCUUUUCUUCUUUUCUUUUCUUUUUCUCAUGAAUUUUUCUCUUUCCACAACAAUUGAGCUCAAUGCUUUUUUCUUGCUUUUUCAAUUUUCCCCCGUACAACCCCAAACUUGAACCUUUUCAUCACAAACAAUUAA